This 495-nucleotide ribosomal RNA is filed under the name uncultured bacterium. Its description in RNAcentral is "partial 16S ribosomal RNA". It matches the Rfam family "Bacterial small subunit ribosomal RNA", at positions 28 to 523 of the family's 1533-position model. The record is from RNAcentral.
GAUGAACGCUAGCGGGAGGCCUAACACAUGCAAGCCGAGCGGUAUUUCUUCUUUGGGAGAGAGAGAGCGGCGUACGGGUGCGGAACACGUGUGCAACCUGCCUUUAUCUAGAGGAUAGCCUUUCGAAAGGAAGAUUAAUACUCUAUAAUAUAUUAAUUGGCAUCAAUUGAUAUUGGAAACUCCGGUGGAUAGAGAUGGGCACGCGCAAGAUUAGCUAGUUGGUGAGGUAACGGCUCACCAAGGCAAUGAUCUUUAGGGGGCCUGAGAGGGUGAUCCCCCACACUGGUACUGAGACACGGACCAGACUCCUACGGGAGGCAGCAGUGAGGAAUAUUGGUCAAUGGGUGCAAGCCUGAACCAGCCAUCCCGCGUGAAGGAUUAAGGUCCUAUGGAUUGUAAACUUCUUUUGUAUAGGGAUAAACCUACCCUCGUGAGGGUAGCUGAAGGUACUAUACGAAUAAGCACCGGCUAACUCCGUGCCAGCCGCCGCAGUAA